ACUCCUACGGGAGGCAGCAGUGGGGAAUCUUAGACAAUGGGGGCAACCCUGAUCUAGCCAUGCCGCGUGAGUGAUGAAGGCCUUAGGGUUGUAAAAGCUCUUUCAGCUGGGAAGAUAAUGACGGUACCAGCAGAAGAAGCCCCCGGCUAACUCCGUGCCCAGCAGCCGCGGUAAUACGGAGGGGGCUAGCGUUGUUCGGAAUUACUCGGCGUAAAGCGCACGUAGGCGGACUGGAAAGUUGGGGGUGAAAUCCCGGGGCUCAACCU
Molecule: ribosomal RNA, 266 nt
Filed under: uncultured bacterium
Lineage: Bacteria
Description: partial 16S ribosomal RNA
Rfam family: Bacterial small subunit ribosomal RNA
Source: RNAcentral